This 487-nucleotide ribosomal RNA is filed under the name uncultured bacterium. Its description in RNAcentral is "partial 16S ribosomal RNA". It matches the Rfam family "Bacterial small subunit ribosomal RNA", at positions 28 to 507 of the family's 1533-position model. The record is from RNAcentral.
GAUGAACGCUAGCGAUAGGCUUAACACAUGCAAGUCGAGGGGCAGCACAAGGUAGCUUGCUAUCUGGGUGGCGACCGGCGCACGGGUGCGUAACGCGUAUGCAACUUGCCCUAUACAGGAGGAUAACCCGUCGAAAGACGGACUAAUACUGCGUAUGCUCACAACUUGGCAUCAAGUGGUGAGGAAAGAAAUUCGGUAUAGGAUAGGCAUGCGUCCCAUUAGCUUGUUGGUGAGGUAACGGCUCACCAAGGCAACGAUGGGUAGGGGAACUGAGAGGUUUAUCCCCCACACUGGUACUGAGACACGGACCAGACUCCUACGGGAGGCAGCAGUGAGGAAUAUUGGUCAAUGGGCGCGAGCCUGAACCAGCCAAGUCGCGUGAAGGAGGACUGUCUUAUGGAUUGUAAACUUCUUUUAUACGGGAAUAACAAGAGUCACGUGUGACUGCCUGCAUGUACCGUAUGAAUAAGCAUCGGCUAACUCCGUG